GAUGAAGAACGCAGCGAAAUGCGAUACGUAAUGUGAAUUGCAAAUUCAGUGAAUCAUCGAGUCUUUGAACGCACAUUGCGCCCCCUGGUAUUCCGGGGGGCAUGCCUGUCCGAGCGUCAUUGCUGCCCUCAAGCACGGCUUGUGUGUUGGGCCCCGUCCUCCGAUCCCGGGGGACGGGCCCGAAAGGCAGCGGCGGCACCGCGUCCGGUCCUCGAGCGUAUGGGGCUUUGUCACCCGCUCUGUAGGCCCGGCCGGCGCUUGCCGAUCAACCCAAAUUUUUAUCCAGGUUGACCUCGGAUCAGGUAGGGAUACCCGCUGAACUUAAGCAUACAAUAAGCGGAGGA
This 344-nucleotide unclassified non-coding RNA is filed under the name soil metagenome. RNAcentral's name for it is "partial contains 5.8S ribosomal RNA, internal transcribed spacer 2, and large subunit ribosomal RNA". The stretch from base 1 to 119 matches the Rfam family "5.8S ribosomal RNA", at positions 35 to 154 of the family's 154-position model. The record is from RNAcentral.